CCCUUGGCCUUGACAUACUAAGAACUUUCCAGAGAUGGAUUGGUGCCUUCGGGAACUUAGAUACAGGUGCUGCAUGGCUGUCGUCAGCUCGUGUCGUGAGAUGUUGGGUUAAGUCCGCAACGAGCGCAACCCUUUUCCUAUUUGCCAGCGGGUAAUGCCGGGAACUUUAAGGAUACUGCCAGUGACAAACUGGAGGAAGGCGGGGACGACGUCAAGUCAUCAUGGCCCUUACGGCCAGGGCUACACACGUGCUACAAUGGUCGGUACAAAGGGUUGCUACCUCGCGAGAGGAUGCUAAUCUCAAAAAGCCGAUCGUAGUCCGGAUCGCAGUCUGCAACUCGACUGCGUGAAGUCGGAAUCGCUAGUAAUCGCGGAUCAGAAUGCCGCGGUGAAUACGUUCCCGGGCCUUGUACACACCGCCCGUCACACCAUGGGAGUUUGUUGCACCAGAAGUAGGUAGUCUAACCGCAAGGAGGACGCUUACCACGGUGUGGCCGAUGACUGGGGUGAAGUCGUAACAAGGUAGGCGUAGAUGA
Molecule: ribosomal RNA, 536 nt
Filed under: uncultured bacterium
Lineage: Bacteria
Description: bacterial SSU rRNA
Rfam family: Bacterial small subunit ribosomal RNA
Source: RNAcentral